CGAUGCGUAGGGGUUCUGAGAGGAAGGUCCCCCACACUGGUACUGAGACACGGACCAGACUCCUACGGGAGGCAGCAGUGAGGAAUAUUGGUCAAUGGGCGGGAGCCUGAACCAGCCAAGUCGCGUGAGGGAAGACGGUCCUAUGGAUUGUAAACCUCUUUUGCCGGGGAGCAACGGGGUCCUUGCGAGGGCCUAAUGAGAGUACCCGGAGAAAAAGCAUCGGCUAACUCCGUGCCAGCAGCCGCGGUAAUACGGAGGAUGCGAGCGUUAUCCGGAUUUAUUGGGUUUAAAGGGUGCGUAGGCGGGCUGUUAAGUCAGCGGUCAAAUGUCGGGGCUCAACCCCGGCCUGCCGUUGAAACUGGUGGCCUCGAGUGGGCGAGAAGUAUGCGGAAUGCGUGGUGUAGCGGUGAAAUGCAUAGAUAUCACGCAGAACUCCGAUUGCGAAGGCAGCAUACCGGCGCCCGACUGACGCUGAGGCACGAAAGCGUGGGUAUCGAACAGGAUUAGAUACCCUGGUAGUCCACGCAGUAAACGAUGAAUGCUAGCUGUCCGGGGCUUCGGUCCUGG
Molecule: ribosomal RNA, 567 nt
Filed under: uncultured bacterium
Lineage: Bacteria
Description: bacterial SSU rRNA
Rfam family: Bacterial small subunit ribosomal RNA
Source: RNAcentral